Molecule: non-coding RNA, 843 nt
Organism: Marmota flaviventris (yellow-bellied marmot)
Lineage: Eukaryota; Metazoa; Chordata; Mammalia; Rodentia; Sciuridae
Source: RefSeq, a predicted model, not a curated record
AGCAAAUGGAAGAAUUCCGGUGGUGUCCAGUGACUGAAGGCUCCACAAUGAAGUCUACAGUUUGGUCAAUCUAAUCUCUGGCAAUGGAAUGCACUGGGGCCAACUGAGGAUGAAGGAUGAGAGAAACACGCAUCUUCUUCUCUGCUCCAGGAAGCAAGUUUGGAAGUUGCCAAGUCAUAUCUGCAGCUCUCAUUUCCAUCAGAAGCCUUGGAUGCAGGCCCAGGACAACUCACCUCCCCCUAGAGGUGGCAACAGCUUCCUGUUAUUGCUUACACUGGUUGCCACUGGAUGUCUGCUGUCACAUUUUCCAUGUUUUCACUCCUCAAUACUCUUCUGUUCUAUUCUAUUAUUCAACAAAUCUUUUAUUUUUUUUCUGACUGGACUCUACCUGAUACUUUGAUUUACUAAUUCAAGUUUUUUUUUAAAUAUAACAUCAUUGUAUUUGCACGGUACCAACAAAGCCAGAUGGGGUUGGAGUUUUCAUAGUACAGACAGAAAAAAAUAAUAAUAUUCCAUUUAUUUGACACAAAUUCAGCAAUUUAAAUUCCCAACUAAAAUUAUCAACCUAAAGCAAGCAUAAAUGUGUCUGAGCUCUUACAAGUUGAAAUGAUUUUCUUUGCUUUGUUCUGCAAGAAUCAUCUAUGUUCACUCCAGUUUGCCUUGUGUUUUAAAAUGAGAUUUGGCUAGCUUUUUUGCAGUACUUCAUCUGUAACAGAGUAUUGAAUUCAAUGUCUGCAGGACAUCAGUAAAACUAUAUGUAUUGAAUAUGUGGGAAAAAGAUUAUCUUCUAGCACAUCAAUGCAAUCUGGAUUAUUUUAUUAAAGAAGAACAAUCACAUACCAA